GUGAGAGGGCGCCCCAAUUUUGGCCAUGACUAUCUACUCUUGCUCUCACAGAAUUUCCUCUUGGCUAAGCUUUCUUCUAUGUUUGCAUGACUGAAGUUUCAGUCUAAAAGCCAGUCAGGUCAAUCAGCGCUGUGGUUGUCUCUCAAUUGUUUGUAGACGUGGAGGGGCAAAGAGGGCGAGUACCUGGCUCCUGUCUCUGAUCAGGACACACCCGGGUCAGAAAGAUGAGGUCUGUCCGGUUCUGCAAGGGUGUUAUUUGAAGAAUGAAAGGGGACGACUUCGUCUGGUACUCAGAGAAGCCCAAUCAUUCAUAGAGCUGCAGGAGCUUUUCUUAUCUUGUAAAAGUGGACUCAGUGAAGACAGGUGUGUUCACUCGUGUCUUGGAUUGUGUGGCGUAAAGAAACUGGGACGUUUUACACCAUGACAUGGGCAGUUGUCUACCUCGUGACAGCACUUCAUCUGACCCAUGGAGGACAGUCAGUCGGGACGGUACAGGCUGCCAUCUGCUUUGACA
Molecule: long non-coding RNA, 514 nt
Organism: Bos taurus (domestic cattle)
Lineage: Eukaryota; Metazoa; Chordata; Mammalia; Artiodactyla; Bovidae
Source: Ensembl